UACGUAGGGUGCGAGCGUUGUCCGGAAUUAUUGGGCGUAAAGAGCUUGUAGGCGGUUUGUCGCGUCUGCCGUGAAAUCCCGAGGCUCAACCUCGGGUCUGCAGUCGAUACGAGCAAACUAGAGUGUUGCAGGGGAGACUGGAAUUCCUGGUGUAGCGGUGAAAUGCGCAGAUAUCAGGAGGAACACCGGUGGCGAAGGCGGGUCUCUGGGCAACAACUGACGCUGGAGGAGCGAAAGCGUGGGGAGCGAACAGG
This 254-nucleotide ribosomal RNA is filed under the name uncultured bacterium. RNAcentral describes it as "partial 16S ribosomal RNA". It matches the Rfam family "Bacterial small subunit ribosomal RNA", at positions 524 to 776 of the family's 1533-position model. The record is from RNAcentral.